AUCUUUCAAUCGAUAUUAUUAUCGAAACUUAGAAACCGGUCGCAUUCAGUGGGAAUAUCCGCUUCCGCUCGCCAACGAAAAUGAGGAAACUAUCGAAGAAGUUGAAAUGGAGCUAUGCGAGACGCCACCUCCUCCAUCGUCUCCAAUCCCAGAGCCUCCCGCAACACCCCCUCCUCCUUCUGAGGAACCACCUCUACCCAAAACACCCCUCCACCAGUCAUAUCCUUCAGUCCUCCUCCUCCACCUGUCAUUUCAGGCUUUAAAUCCAGCGCCAAGAAGACAGUGAACAAAAAAAAAUCAAAGUCCGAAAACCUGUCGAUAGAGCUGCCGCCUUUGCCAGAAAAUCCGCCUUUGCCGAAAAACCCUCCUCCCCCUCCACCAGCAGACGCUCCUCCUCCUCCUCUCCCUCCUCUUCCCCUUCCGAUCCCAACAGUAUCAGCGCUCCUUUGCCUCCGAGCUCUGCUGUUGGAACCAAUCAGACACAGAGAAUUUUAAAGGAAUUUAACCAGAAUAACGCUCAAAUCUUUGCUGGUCAGCAACUCCCUCCUCCCCCUCCAUCUUAUCCUCCACCUUCGCCGCACCAACGCACAUCUGAAUCUCUUAAACCUGCCUCGCGGGCAACUCAGCGGCCCAUGUUUCCCUCUGUCUGUGUGUCUGCACCAAGGAGUCUCACCAAUAAAGUACCUGAUAAAAUAUCUCACCAAGUGAUUGAGACUCCAGCAUACUCAGUGCAGCCUGCACAACCUCCACUCCCUCCGUCAGUCACAGACCUAAAUUCAGCUUUGGAUAGCUUCUACUCUGAUAUCGCUAGUUUAGAGGCCAAUGUUCCUGAAGAGACAUCAAAGUCUGAACCCAGUGCACCAUCGUCAGGACAUACUGGGGCAAGUGCACCGUUACCAGGACCUACUCCUGCUGAAACUGAGUCACCAAGUCUCCCAAAAAGAAAAAGAAGGUGA
Molecule: long non-coding RNA, 956 nt
Filed under: Bemisia tabaci
Lineage: Eukaryota; Metazoa; Arthropoda; Insecta; Hemiptera; Aleyrodidae
Description: lncRNA ENSSSA1NGG014898
Source: RNAcentral